UACGGAGGAGGAAAGCGUUAUCCGGAAUUAUUGGGAGUAAAGCGUCCGUAGGUGGUUGGCCAAGUCUGCUGUCAAAGGGUGGGGCUUAACCUCAUAAAGGCAGUGGAAACUGGCGAGCUAGAGUGCGGUAGGGGUAGGGGGAAUUCCCAGUGUAGCGGUGAAAUGCGUAGAGAUUGGGAAGAACAUCGGUGGCGAAAGCGCCCUGCUGGGCCUGCACUGACACUGAGGGAAGAAAGCUAGGGGAGCGAAAGGG
RNAcentral lists this ribosomal RNA (253 nucleotides) under uncultured bacterium. RNAcentral's name for it is "partial 16S ribosomal RNA". It matches the Rfam family "Bacterial small subunit ribosomal RNA", at positions 524 to 776 of the family's 1533-position model. The record is from RNAcentral.